Molecule: long non-coding RNA, 554 nt
Organism: Toxorhynchites rutilus septentrionalis
Lineage: Eukaryota; Metazoa; Arthropoda; Insecta; Diptera; Culicidae
Exons: 3
Source: RefSeq, a predicted model, not a curated record
GAAUUUUAUAUGUAAACAAUCUGCAAUAUUUGGCAAUAUGUUUUUUGCUUCCUGUGUGUGGAAUUGUUUUGGUAGCAAUAAGAGCAUUGAAAAGUCGAAAGCUCAAGAGAAUAAAUCGACUCUCGGUGUCGGUCAGUGAUGGAGGUAUUUUCCCCGCGUUUUACAGUUAGAGACGUCGGUUAAUCGUUCGAUUAAUUCAUAUAAUCGAAUAUCUGCAUCAGUAAUUUUAUAUCGAAUAAUGAAAAAUCAAGAAAACAGUGCAAAACUUGUUUAACCGUCAUGGUGUUUCGUCGAAAUUCUUCGAAUAUGCUAAAUCAUUUACGGUUGAAGCAUGAAAAUGAUUCCUUGGUGGUGGAAGAAACUGGGAAGAAUUCAGGGUCUCAGGAGUAAAAUGCGGACUUGAAGAAGGUGGUCUCAGCCCAAUGGUCCCGUUCUAAAAUAGUAGUAUUCAAAUUCAGAGUGCCAAGGGAAAUAUACCAUACUAGUGGUCAAUGAUUCUAUAAAUAUACUUCUUUAGAACCAGUAGUUAUAGGGAUCAAGCAGAAAUAUUCAAA